GGUCCGAGGGGUCCCGGCUGUGAGGGGCGGGGGGUCCCGCUGUGAGGGGGCGUUGGUCUGAGGGUCUCUGUGGGGAGAGGGCGUUGGUCCGGUGGGUUCUCGUGAGGAGGGGGCGGCCGGGUGUGAAGGGUUGUGUGAGGGACUUUUGGGGGUGUGCGGAGAGAGUAACUAGCUGUGAGGGGUUGUGUGAGGAGCAGUUUUAGGGGAUAAGAGAGGAGCUGCUGAGGGAUAGGAGAACAGGAGAGAGCUGGCAUGUGGGGGUGCUGAGAGAAGUUUGGGAAAUAAUUUGUGGAAGCCCCAUGUGGGGACACUGAGUGGGGAGAGGGGCCUGAGGGAGAAGAUGAUGGGGGGCUGCUGCUGAGGCCAUUUGAGCUCAGCCAGCAUUUUGAGGAGCAGCAGGCCUGAGGGAGAAUGAGGAAACUGAGGAAAGGUGUGGGGCAGACCUCAGCAAGGAGGUACUUGGGGCCUGGACAUGUGUAGGGGAGAGGUCUGGCACGGAUGGGAACUUUUUGGGGACAAUGUGGAAGAGGACAGUAGGUUUGGGGUAAGCGGUCUGUGGUGAGGACAUGGAUCCAAGUGGAGCUGCCUCUCUGGCCAGGGGGAGCUCAUCUACAGGCUGUGACAGUCCCAGGAAGUGGUAGGUGACUGCUCUAGUGCAGCUGCCCUCACCAAAUGGGUGUAUUUCAGCCUGCCCUUGUCCGAGCUGUGUCUGGGUUGUGGCCAGAAGAGGGGAAAAAAAAAAUCUCAUGGGCUGAGCACAUGGUCUCCUAAACUGUACUCUUGGCUCUCAGUGGUGGGUGUUGAACUUGGUAGGUUGUUGAGCCUUUGUGUGCUUUGGUAUCUCCAUCUAUGAAGCAGAGAUAACAGUUGGCUUCAUGCAGGGAUUAAUUAUCACAUCUUGUAGUCAUGUAUUUGUUUAUUUGUUUUUACUAUAGAUUACAGCUGGAGGAAUUCUAAACAGUCCACUUCUCCUUGUCAUGGUGUUUGAGUGCAUUGUGCUCCCGUCUGAACGGAGGAAAUCACUGAGGUUUUCCCUCACAGCUGAGUCAGCAGAAGAGAGUGUUCUGUGCCUGACCCUGCUGGGUUAGUGCUGCCUGUCUCCGCUCAGACCCCAGCCCGACAGUGCUGUGACUACCCUGGCCUUUGUCCUAGACUGGCUGGUGUAGGGAUGUGUAUUUACACCGUGGUACAGGGAAGUAACCUCUGGAAGAGAGUUGGCUGGAGAGUAUGACUGGAACUGCUGGACAAAAGGUGGUGGAACUCUUCUGAGAACUCCUAGAUUCCAUAUUAGCAUGGUGGCUUUUCCAGUGAUCUGCAAUGAACAGCUCUGCUGUUGACCCUAUCUGGAUCUUGGUCUCCUGUUUUAUAGAUUUUAUAGAUAAAACAACAUUUUACAUUGCUGUGAACUUGCUUCCAGGCACCGAUUCUUAUAAUCCAUAAACCACAGUAAAACUGUGGCCUUGCUCUUCAGCAAUUCUGCAGUCACCUAUCUCUGAGACAUUGUAUUUCACCCUUGAAUAAGAUUCUAGACCAAAAAAAAAGAGUUAGACUGCAUACAGAUUAACAAAUGUAUUGCUUGUAUCUCUGGCUACUGCAGCAUGACUCACCCAUCAGUGCUUGUCAGAGUCUUGCGUGACCUCAUUGAAAGCUUCAACAUCUCUUAUGUGAAGGCAGGUUGUAAUCCAGUGUGGGAAUCCUAAAUAGGUGGGGAAUGAAGUUCUGAGAUUGUGAUAAUGCAUACAUCAUAAACAUCUCCCUGGAAAUCAAUUAUGCCCUCACCAGGAAUAUUCCUACAGAUUUCUGAGAUCUCUUGGUGCUAAGCCUGCCUUUCCCUGCUUUUAUUUAAAAAAACACCUGUAUUAUUCAAGACAGCAACAGAAAUCAAUACUGGUAGGAAAAUUUAAGAGUGAAUGGGACAUGUCAAGGAGGAGAUGCUCUGCUAUUUGCAAGGACAAGAAAGAGCUGAUGGUUCCUUUUUAUGUAUGACAGCUUCUAUAUGCUUUUGUUCUUUUUUUUUUUUUUUUCCCCUAUGUCAGUAAUGAGGCUUCUGGUACACAGGUAUCUGCUGCUACUGGAAUGGAAAGUGAAAUCCCUAGCUGUUGGUCUGGUUGCUGUCCUUGGGACAUGUGAAUGUCUGCUCCUGUUUUGCUGUAGGUAAUUUCUGGAAGUGGCAAAGUUGUCUGUGCCAGCCAGGAAGCUUUGUCCGUAGGCAGCAACAGUUACUGUCCCUUAGUUUCUCAAAGCUGCAGCUCCUCAGUGGUUCCACAGACCCGCUUUGUCACGGUGUGUCAGUAACUUCACGGAACUCACUGCAUCUGCUGCUGUACUUGGUAUCAAGUCUGGCAUCUGUCUAAAUGUAGGUAUGUCCCUCCUGCAGAUCUGCUUUACCCAUCCAGACUCUUACCUGGUGAGUUUUUUCUCUUACACUUUGCCUUAGGUAGAUGGUAGUAUGACUUCUGUGUUUCUUAAGAGUUUUUUUAUCUUGAGUCUGGGAACAUAGAUCGUUAUUAUUUUGGGAUAGGAGAAGAGGGCAAAAAUCCUGUUCUGAGUAGAUAUAUUUUACAUUCUGGUCCUUCUUUAAGGAAGGUGUAGCAGGUCACAGAAUCAAUGCAUGCAUAUCAUUUGUAAGGAAAAAAAUAGGCAACCUUAGGCCUUUUUAUCCAUUAUUUUUUACCACAGAGAUCAGAGAGGUGCUAUAUCUCCUUAGCUGUUUUGUGAAUCCUUGGGGGAAUAAGUUGAUGGGUCUGCCCAGUUUCUAGUACUGAGAACUGUGCAUAUGCACAUAAAAUACAUCGAGUUCUAAAAAAUGUCUCUGAUGUUCUUUGUGCAGAGACCAAGGCCUGGAUGAUGUUUGGAGACUAGGCAUACCUUUGCUCAAUGAUCUGAUGGAUGUACAUAGUGAUGUACUAGGGCAUAGGAGAUGGAAGCCUCACAAAAGUGUUGUCCAUGCUGCAUUCAGCUGUGGGGAUAUUGGCUUAAAUGAUUGAUCUAGUAUUUGAAGUCCUAUUGCUUGAUUUACAUCUUGGUUUUUAGUAUCUUGGCAGACCUUUCUGUCACACAGUAAAGCAUACCUGGGGUUCUGGUAGAAUUCUGCUCUUAGGUCAAGCCCAAACCUCAUUGCUCCUCCCUGCCUUCAGCUGGAAAUGGGCAGACACAAUUUGUGACUGAAUAUCCUGAGUCACCGAUUCCCAGCUGGCCAUGUGCACUGCAGUUCCAUCUCUUCCUUUCCGACUGCACUCCCUAGAGGAGAUUGGGAACAACUGCAGUCGUCAGCUCCAGCGUGGUGUGUGCGCUUGCCAGGAUCCACACAAUUGGUGGACAAUCCCUGUCUACGUCUAUGGGGUGAGCUGCUUGUGAUUUGUUACUGUAUGCUUGGUGUUUCCACACCGGAAAAUGAAACAGGUGUAAGAAUAUUUUGAAAAAAAAAAAAUUAAAUUUCUUGAGAUUUACUAGAAAAAUAUCAGCAUUGUGGAGAUGGUGAUAGGAUGUCUCCAUUAAAUAAUCAGUUGAGACAAGUGAGGAUGCCAGUAAUGCUCUCACAGCAAGAUUGUGUGAUAAUGGAUGAAGAUGAAGAAUCUGUAGAGAUGAUGAAAGGUGAAGUAGUUACUCCCUACACUGGUGAAGUUCUGCUACUGGGAGCAUGGAUCCACCAUGCAGGAGCUGACAGAUUAUCUGUUCUGUCAGAUGCUCUUGUGCUGUGUUUGCUAUCCUGCUUGUGCAGUAUCUCAAAGAAAGGCUGCUUAAGCUCAUCAGGGAAAUAAUGCAACACGUUGCUGUUAUUUCAUCUGACCUAAACGUUUUCACUGUGUAAUGCUUGCUGCUAGUCUUGUGCAUAGCCCUGGGGGAAGCUGAAACACAAAACACUUCAUUGAGCUUUUUGAUCCAACAGGUCUUGACAUAUUGCUGCUGGACACAUCUGUGUCUGAUCUGAACUGUGAGAGUUCCAUUCUGUCCUGCUAAAAUAACAGCAUAUUAAACAAUACUAUUCUGUCCAU
This is a long non-coding RNA of Lonchura striata (white-rumped munia), 3995 nucleotides long. RefSeq lists it as uncharacterized. The record is from RefSeq and is a predicted model, not a curated record. NCBI's taxonomy places the organism in Eukaryota, Metazoa, Chordata, Aves, Passeriformes, Estrildidae.